GAUGAAGAACGUAGCGAAAUGCGAUACGUAAUGUGAAUUGCAAAUUCAGUGAAUCAUCGAGUCUUUGAACGCACAUUGCGCCCCCUGGUAUUCCGGGGGGCAUGCCUGUCCGAGCGUCAUUGCUGCCCUCAAGCACGGCUUGUGUGUUGGGCCUCCGUCCUCCUCCCGGGGGACGGGCCCGAAAGGCAGCGGCGGCACCGCGUCCGGUCCUCGAGCGUAUGGGGCUUCGUCACCCGCUCUUGUAGGCCCGGCCGGCGCUUGCCGACACAUCAAUCUUUUUUCCAGGUUGACCUCGGAUCAGGUAGGGAUACCCGCUGAACUUAAGCAUAUCAAUAAGCGGAGGA
Molecule: unclassified non-coding RNA, 344 nt
Filed under: soil metagenome
Description: partial contains 5.8S ribosomal RNA, internal transcribed spacer 2, and large subunit ribosomal RNA
Rfam family: 5.8S ribosomal RNA (bases 1-119)
Source: RNAcentral